UACCAGCACCCCGAGUGGUCGGGACGAUUAUUGGGCCUAAAGCAUCCGUAGCCGGUCCUGCAAGUCCUCCGUUAAAUCCACCCGCUCAACGGUUGGGCCGCGGGGGAUACUACAGGGCUAGGAGGCGGGAGAGGCAAGCGGUACUCGAUGGGUAGGGGUAAAAUCCACUGAUCCAUUGAAGACCACCAGUGGCGAAGGCGGCUUGCCAGAACGCGCUCGACGGUGAGGGAUGAAAGCUGGGGGAGCAAACCGGAUUAGAUACCCGGGUAGUCCCAGCUGUAAACGAUGCAGACUCGGUGAUGGGCUGGCUUCGUGCCAACCCGGUGCCGCAGGGAAGCCGUUAAGUCUGCCGCCUGGGGAGUACGGUCGCAAGACUGAAACUUAA
This 385-nucleotide ribosomal RNA is filed under the name uncultured crenarchaeote. RNAcentral describes it as "bacterial SSU rRNA". It matches the Rfam family "Archaeal small subunit ribosomal RNA", at positions 474 to 859 of the family's 1478-position model. The record is from RNAcentral. Lineage: Archaea; Thermoproteati; Thermoproteota.